RNAcentral lists this ribosomal RNA (396 nucleotides) under uncultured bacterium. RNAcentral's name for it is "partial 16S ribosomal RNA". It matches the Rfam family "Bacterial small subunit ribosomal RNA", at positions 523 to 918 of the family's 1533-position model. The record is from RNAcentral.
AUACGUAGGUGGCAAGCGUUGUCCGGAAUUAUUGGGCGUAAAGCGCAUGUAGGCGGUUUGGUAAGUCGGUCGUGAAAAUGCGGUGCUUAACGCCGUAUGGCGAUUGAAACUGCUGAACUUGAGUGCAGGAGAGGAAAGGGGAACUCCCAGUGUAGCGGUGAAAUGCGUAGAUAUUGGGAAGAACACCGGUGGCGAAGGCGCCUUUCUGGACUGUGUCUGACGCUCAGAUGCGAAAGCCAGGGUCGCGAACGGGAUUAGAUACCCCGGUAGUCCUGGCCGUAAACGAUGGGUACUAGGUGUGGGAGGUAUCGACUCCUUCCGUGCCGGAGUUAACGCAAUAAGUACCCCGCCUGGGGAGUACGGCCGCAAGGCUUAAACUCAAAUGAAUUGGCGGGG